AUGAAAAGGAAAGAACUGGUAAGAAAGAAAAACGAACAGAAGAAGAAAGAGGCCGGAAGCUCAAUAGACGAAAGAAGGGUGACUUGAUUUUGCUUCCUUUACUGCACUUUCUUUUCUGCAUGUCCGUUUGCACGAGAAGAGUGAGGUAUCGGGAAAAAAAUUGAAUGGGAGAUCACAG
This 178-nucleotide non-coding RNA is filed under the name Chromera velia. Lineage: Eukaryota; Chromeraceae. The record is from RNAcentral.